GGUUAAGUGACUAAGCGUACACGGUGGAUGCCUGGGCAGUCAGAGGCGAUGAAGGACGUACUAACUUGCGAUAAGCGCAGAUAAGGCAGUAAGAGCCGUUUGAGUCUGCGAUUUCCGAAUGGGGAAACCCAACUGCAUAAGCAGUUACUGUUAACUGAAUACAUAGGUUAACAGAGCAAACCGGGGGAACUGAAACAUCUAAGUACCCCGAGGAGAAGAAAUCAACCGAGAUUCCGGUAGUAGCGGCGAGCGAACCUGGAUUAGCCCUUAAGCACUCGUUGAAGUAGGUGAACAAGCUGGAAAGCUUGGCGAUACAGGGUGAUAGCCCCGUAACCGACGCUUCAUCGAGCGUGAAAUCGAGUAGGGCGGGACACGUGAUAUCCUGUCUGAAUAUGGGGGGACCAUCCUCCAAGGCUAAAUACUCCUGACUGACCGAUAGUGAACCAGUACCGUGAGGGAAAGGCGAAAAGAACCCCUGUGAGGGGAGUGAAAUAGAACCUGAAACCGUGUACGUACAAGCAGUAGGAGCACCUUCGUGGUGUGACUGCGUACCUUUUGUAUAAUGGGUCAGCGACUUAUAUUCAGUGGCAAGGUUAACCGUAUAGGGGAGCCGUAGCGAAAGCGAGUCUUAACUGGGCGCUCAGUCUCUGGAUAUAGACCCGAAACCGGGUGAUCUAGCCAUGGGCAGGUUGAAGGUUGAGUAACAUCAACUGGAGGACCGAACUGACUAAUGUUGAAAAAUUAGAGGAUGAUCUUGUGUCUAGGAGUGAAAGUUCUAUCAAACUCGGAGAUAGGUGGUUCUUCCCGAGAGCUAUUUAGGUAGUACAUCGGAGGAAUACUUCUGGGGUUAUAGCACUGUUAAGGCUAGGGGGUCAUUCCGACUUACCAACCGUUUGCUAACUCAGAAUCCCAGUAAGUACUAUCCUGGAUACACAAGACGGGUGCUAACCUCCGUCCUGGAGAGGGUAACAACCCAGACCUCCAUCUAAGGUCCCAAAGUAUUGCUAAGUGAGAAAGGAUGUGGGAAGGCUCACACACAUCGGAUGUUGAGCUUAGAAGCAGCCAUCAUUUAAAGAAAGCGUAAUAGC
This 1088-nucleotide ribosomal RNA is filed under the name Vibrio metoecus. RNAcentral's name for it is "partial 23S ribosomal RNA". It matches the Rfam family "Bacterial large subunit ribosomal RNA", at positions 1 to 1141 of the family's 2925-position model. Lineage: Bacteria; Pseudomonadati; Pseudomonadota; Gammaproteobacteria; Vibrionales; Vibrionaceae. The record is from RNAcentral.